AUGUGCAAUAAUGUAAAAGAUUUUUCCAUAUCAGUUCUUUGUGGAAGAAAAUUUGAACAAAAACAAAAAAUGAAGAAAGUGAAAUAUAGUAUACUUUGGUUUGAAUUUAGACUCUUGAGGCAGAUGGCAUUUUUCAUCAUGAAUCCUUUGGGAUUUUCUUUCAUCAUUGUAUUGCUGAAAAUAGGCUCUAUUUAAGCUCUAUUCAACCUGUCUCAGAGAGUAGGAGCAUGGAAUCAAAUAAUCUCACAGUUGAGUCAGAUGUGAGAGGUAAUGUACUCUAACCCACAUUGUUUUUUUGGUUUUUCUUUAGACUAUUUUCCUAUGGUUACAUGAUUUAUGAUUCCCCCACUCCCACCCCUUCUCUCCCCACUCCUGGAGCUGACAAGCAAUUACACUGGAUUAUAAAUGUAUCACUGUUCAAAAUUUAUUUCCAUGUUAUUCAUAUUUACAUUAGAGAGAUCUUUUAACACCAAAACUCUAUAUUCCUAUCAAACUACAUGAUUGAUUAUGUUUUUCUUCUGUUUCUAUUCCCACAGUUCUUUCUCUGGAUGUGAAUAGCUUUCUUUCUCAUAAGUUCCUCUGGAUUGUACUGGGUCAUUUCAUUGCUGCUAGUAAAAAAGUCUAUUACAUUCAAUUGUGUCAAAACGUAUCAUUCUCUGUGUAUAAUAUUCUCCUGGUUCUGUUCCUUUUGCUCUGCUUCAUUCCUGGAGGUUGUUCCAGUUCACAUGGAAUUCCUGCAGUUCAGUAUUACUUACAUCACAAGAGUAUUCCAUCACCAAAAAAUACCACAAUUUGUUCAGCCAUUCCCCAAUUGAGGGAUACAUUCUCAUUUUCUAAUUUUUUGCUACCACAAAGAGCAUGGCUAUAAACAUUUUUUGUACAAGUCUUUUUCCUUAUUAUCUGUUUGAGGUACAAAGCAAGCAGUGGUUUCACUAGAUCAAAGGGCAGGCUUUCUUUU
This 958-nucleotide long non-coding RNA is filed under the name Monodelphis domestica (gray short-tailed opossum). Its description in RNAcentral is "lncRNA (ENSMODG00000035585.2)". The record is from RNAcentral. Lineage: Eukaryota; Metazoa; Chordata; Mammalia; Didelphimorphia; Didelphidae.